Hemicordylus capensis (graceful crag lizard) is the source of this 3330-nucleotide long non-coding RNA. RefSeq lists it as uncharacterized. The record is from RefSeq and is a predicted model, not a curated record. Lineage: Eukaryota; Metazoa; Chordata; Lepidosauria; Squamata; Cordylidae. The transcript is spliced from 3 exons.
GGGGGCCGGGGCUACAAGGGGGCGGCCAUUUUUUUAACUGGAGGAGCCAUAGGAGGAGCCGCCAACGGAGGAGCGAUUAUUAGAAUAAUUACAGCUGCAGUGUGUGGAAAGCGCGGGAGGGAGAUCUCCGGCGGGCGGGAGCUCCCAUUGGCUGCCGGAGAACACAUGCUCACCAUGCUGGUUGUCUCAGUUCCUCUCUCCCUGCUUGCUGCAGGCAGGAGGAGUGGAGCGGAGUAGCUUGGUUUAGUUGAGAGAGCAGCUGCUGCUGGGGACGUUCUCUGACUCUGCCUGCCUGCCGUUUGCCCACCACACUGCCCUCUGGCUGCCUUUUAUUCUUCUGUUGUGCAUUAACAAAUGUCUAGAGAGCUGCAAGAGCAGAAGAUGCUCACAUGGACCAUGGUGCCUAAGUUUGUGCAGUGGCUGACACACAGAUAAUGUGUAUGUAGUAACACAUGAGAUUCUAUUUGCAUUACUCAGUAGAUGGAUGUGAUCCAUGGCACAAGGUAUUCCCUUAGGGGAUGGAGCCACUCUGGGAAGAGCAUCUAGGCUCCAAGUUCCUUCCCUGGCAUUUCCAAGAUAGGGCUGAGAGAGAUUCCUGCCUGCAACCUUGGAGAAGCCACUGCCAGUCUGUGUAGACAAUACUGAACGAGAUGGACCUAUGGUUUGAUUCAGUAUAUGGCAGCUUCCUAUGUUUCUGUGUUCCACAGCAAACCGUUGUGCACCUGGUAGCAUAGAUCCACAUUUGGAAACCUGUGAAACGCUAAUAUUAUUUUGUAAGAUACAUCCUUAACCAAUGUGCUUGAAGCAUGACUAUAUGUACUACCAGUGGGAAACCUUGUGAUAAACACUACUGUACAUUAUUAUUUGUUUAUGUGAACAUUAUUCAUAUGUUUGUAAUUGAUUAAUAGUAGUUGUUCGUGCCCUCGUCACCUCUAGGUUCAAUGACUGUAAUGCAGAACUGCUCUUGAAAACAAUUUGGCAACCUCAGUUGGUUCAGAAUGUGGCUGCCAGGUUUUUGGGUUGGGCCAAGAGAUUGCAACACUUCACAGAUUCAUUCCCAACUUCAGAUGCUCUUACUAGAGCAGCCCCAUCCCCUGAGAGGAAUCUCUCACCGUGCCCACACGCCUCCCAUUCAAAUGCAAACCAGAGCAGACUCUGCUUAGCCAAGAGGCCAACUCAUGCUUGCUACCACAAGACCAGCUCACUAGAGAGAUGUAUACUCCCUAUUCAGCUCUUUGCCUCUCCCGUCCAUUGGUGUGGCUUAUAGCUUUUUCCUCUCCCCUCUUUUGCGAUCCUUUUGGACGGAAUAAGGCCAUAUCGACGCAUCAGUGCUCACCUACUGGAAUCAACGAGGUUCCUUCCCAGGUGAGCGUACCCAGGACUGGGCUGCAAAGCUGCAAUCCUGCGUGCCACUUCCCUGGGAAUCAGCCCACUGGACCUCCUACCGCGUGCAGCCUGUAUCGUGCUGCAAAUGGCCGUGAGGUGCCCCGAGCUCUUGGGGGGCAGCAGACAUUCAUAGCAAUGCAAGACGACUCGCACCUUUGUGACGAAGGCACCACUCGGCGAGACUCCGCAUUCUAAACUCUAUUUACAGCACGAGGGACACCCCAGGAGAGCGUCGGCCGGGCCGGGCCCCCACCUGGCCUUUCCUCAGGCAUCUACCCAGCUCCCCCUUCAGCCUCCCGGGGAGAAAAGCUGCCCGCCCGCCACGCACAUGCUAUUCCCCAGUGGGCUCCAGCCACAGGCCAGGCCGGACUAUACCAUCCAGAGGGGAUGGGAGCCCGCCAGCUCUGCAGCACCUGAGCCACGGGGCAUGGGCCUAGCCGCGUUUUUCUCCCCCCCGCUUACUUCACUGGUAGUCCAUUUGUUUCCAGGCUCAAGUUAGAGUGUUGCUUUUAACUGAAUGCCCUAAAUGCUGUAUCUCAUGGUAUCUCCAGAGCCAAUAUGAACCUGCCUAAGAACUUGGAGCCACUUUGAAGGCCCUCCUCUGUAUCCAUGCCAUCAGAGUCAGAUCAAGCAGGCAAGAGAGACAGAGACAGACUUCUUAGUGGUGGCACUAAGCACCCUCCCCAUGGUGGUAUACCAGUUCUCAUCACUGUCUGUCUUUUGAAAAUUGUUCUAUGCCAGCAUGCUUUUACUUAGAUCUAUCUUUCUGUGCUUUGUUUUAAACUGUUCCUGCUGUUUUAUGUUUCAAGACUGAUUGACGUAUAAUCUAGCACAAACAAUGCAAAGUGAAAACCUUGAGGAACCACAAAAGAUGGGGGGGGGGGUUUCCGGGUGAAAUAACAUGAUAGAAUGCUAUUUUACUGAGCCUUUUCAUGCAAUCAUGUGGGGGUGAAUUGAGGGGGUAAAGAGCUCCUACCCUCAUAGGCACAAACAGAACAUCUGGGGCAGCAAACAAACAAGCCAGGAGAAGCCUCCACUGCUGAAAUCAUAAGCCUGAACAACAGAAGGCCCUCUGAGGAUUGAGUUAGCCAUCCCAGCAUACAUUAUACUGCCAUUCUUUGCUAUGAACCACACCGCCCAUUGAGAUCAUCUGGAGAGGUUCGUCUGCAGUUGCCACCAGCUCGUCUGGUGGCUACUCAGGGAUGGGCCUUCUCCAUUGCUGCCCUGAGGCUUUGGAACACACUUCCUGCUGAAAUAAGAUCUUCCCCAUCUCUUACAACUUCUAAAAAGGCAGUCAAGACGCAUUUGUUCACCCAGUCCUUUAAUUAGAUAUUGUUUUAAUUGUGUUUUUAAUGGUUUUAGCAUUUUAAAUUUUAAAUUGCUGUAAUGUUUUAAUCUCUUUAUCUGUUGUUUUUAUGGUUUUGUUGUAAACCGCCAGAGACUUGCAUUUUGGGCAGUAUACAAAUGUGUUAAAUAAAAUAAAUAAAAUUAGAAUGGCAACCCUCAUUACAUCAUCAGCUGUCCUCUGAUUGGCCAUGACAAGAGGCAUGCCCAGCCCUCCUGAAUGUACUGCAAGCAUCAGGAUCAUAGAGUGUGCUUUGCAGAACAGUACAUUCACUGAUGGCAGCCUCUGAAGGCAGAGCUCUCUCCUAACAUGGCUGAAGGGGCAUGGUGUCCAUUAGACAAGGGGGUGAAAAUGUCCUUGGGCCUGGACUGGUCAGGGGGUCCACAAGGGCCCCCACUGGAGCCCACCACUACCCAGCUGCCCACCACUGCCCUCUGCGCCACCACUGCCCUCAGUGCCUGCUGCUGUCCCACCCUAGCCCCAUCGCUCAUACUGCCCAUAAUCUUCACUGCCAGGGGACCAGGCCACCACCCCCCUUGGUGAGGGCAGGCAGGCUUCUCCCCCACACUCCUGGAUGGCCUGCAGCUUCUCUCAGGCCU